GACGAACGCUGGUGGCGUGCUUAACACAUGCAAGUCGAACGGGAUUUAGUAAACAGAAGCCUCGGUGGAAGAUUACUAAUGAGAGUGGCGAACGGGUGAGUAACGCGUGAGCAACCUGCCUAUGACAGUGGGAUAGCCUCGGGAAACCGGGAUUAAUACCGCAUAAAAUCGUAGAAACACAUGUUUUAACGGUCAAAGAUUUAUCGGUCGUAGAUGGGCUCGCGUCUGAUUAGCUAGUUGGUGAGAUAACAGCCCACCAAGGCGACGAUCAGUAGCCGGUCUGAGAGGAUGAACGGCCACAUUGGAACUGAGACACGGUCCAAACUCCUACGGGAGGCAGCAGUGGGGAAUAUUGCACAAUGGGGGAAACCCUGAUGCAGCGACGCCGCGUGAACGAAGAAGGUAUUCGUAUCGUAAAGUUCUGUCCUAUGGGAAGAUAAUGACAGUACCAGAGAAGAAAGCUCCGGCUAAAUACGUG
Molecule: ribosomal RNA, 478 nt
Filed under: uncultured bacterium
Lineage: Bacteria
Description: partial 16S ribosomal RNA
Rfam family: Bacterial small subunit ribosomal RNA
Source: RNAcentral